Molecule: long non-coding RNA, 339 nt
Filed under: Ananas comosus (pineapple)
Lineage: Eukaryota; Viridiplantae; Streptophyta; Magnoliopsida; Poales; Bromeliaceae
Description: long non-coding RNA (ACOM_LNC005153)
Source: RNAcentral
GUAGGGAUGCAAAUGGAUCUGGGUUGGUGGAGCUUCCGUACCGAUCUGCCUUGAAUGAGGCAAUAAGUGAAAACAAAAAAUAUAGUGCGUCCCGAUUCCGUCUUGAUCUAAUCUGCCAAGUAAAUGAAGUGGGACAGAAGACCUUUUUCUUUCUUUGAUCCGUCACAAUCUGUCAAAAAUUUGUGAAAAACCCGCACCCGCCGCGAACAGUCCCGAAUGGAGUGGUAAAUGGGGCCCAAAAAUACGAUUAAAAGUUAUCCACUCUGAAUCUGCCCCGAUUUGAUAAAACUAGAGCAAAAAUUAAGAGAUCCAUCCCGCCUCCUGAUCUGCCUUGUUUGC